UCUCCUGUGCUCGUGCAGUCACGAUCGAUGAAGAACGCAGCGAAAUGCGAUAAGUAAUGUGAAUUGCAGAAUUCAGUGAAUCAUCGAAUCUUUGAACGCAUCUUGCGCUCCUUGGUAUUCCGAGGAGCAUGCCUGUUUGAGUGUCAUUUGAGUUCUCAAGGUCAUACUUUCGGUGUGGCUUUGGAUAUGGAGGUUUGCAGGCUUCUGAAAAAUGAAGUCGGCUCCUCUGAAAUGCAUUAGUGGUAUCUGAGCAGAGACUACUUACAGGUGUGAUAAUUAUCUAUCUAUGCCUUGGUAUGCUGCAUUAAACGGAUUGCACUGCUUAUAACAAGUGAAAUUUGACAAGUUUGACCUCAAAUCAGGUAGGACUACCCGCUGAACUUAA
RNAcentral lists this ribosomal RNA (385 nucleotides) under uncultured Inocybe. RNAcentral describes it as "eukaryotic LSU rRNA". The stretch from base 24 to 146 matches the Rfam family "5.8S ribosomal RNA", at positions 32 to 154 of the family's 154-position model. The record is from RNAcentral. Lineage: Eukaryota; Fungi; Basidiomycota; Agaricomycetes; Agaricales; Cortinariaceae.